This 433-nucleotide ribosomal RNA is filed under the name uncultured bacterium. Its description in RNAcentral is "partial 16S ribosomal RNA". It matches the Rfam family "Bacterial small subunit ribosomal RNA", at positions 29 to 507 of the family's 1533-position model. The record is from RNAcentral.
AACGAACGCUGGCGGCAUGCCUAACACAUGCAAGUCGAACGAGACCUUCGGGUCUAGUGGCGCACGGGUGCGUAACGCGUGGGAACCUGCACUUAGGUUCGGAAUAACUCCCCGAAAGGGGUGCUAAUACCGGAUAAUGUCUUCGGACCAAAGAUUUAUCGCCUUUGGAUGGGCCCGCGUUGGAUUAGCUAGUUGGUAGGGUAAAAGCCUACCAAGGCGACGAUCCAUAGCUGGUUUGAGAGGAUGAUCAGCCACACUGGGACUGAGACACGGCCCAGACUCCUACGGGAGGCAGCAGUGGGUAAUAUUGGACAAUGGGCGAAAGCCUGAUCCAGCAAUGCCGCGUGAGUGAUGAAGGCCUUAGGGUUGUAAAGCUCUUUUACCCGGGAUGAUAAUGACAGUACCGGAAGAAUAAGCUCCGGCUAACUCCGUG